UCCAGCGGCGAAAGCACGUUGAAAGAACCACUUCCUAAUGGAUCAUUGAUGUCAAGCAACUUUGCACGUGGUUGAUAUCCGGAUGGGCGACCAUCUGGGCGAUCGCGUGCUUCUGGCU
Molecule: ribosomal RNA, 118 nt
Filed under: Diaphorina citri (Asian citrus psyllid)
Lineage: Eukaryota; Metazoa; Arthropoda; Insecta; Hemiptera; Psyllidae
Source: RNAcentral